AACACAAUAUAGAGAUGAUGUUAUAUUAUUAAACCUCUUACUCGAAUGGGAUUCUCCAAAACUAAUUAUAACUUUCAAACAAACUAACAAAUGAAAAACUAAAUUUAAGAACGAACAAAACCUACAAACCAAAAAGAAACAUGACAGAUCGUUUGACCUCCAAUCAUCACCCCCACUUUGCCCACACCAUUCAACUUAAGGCCCGAUUCUAAUAAAUAUGAAAAAAUGACGACAUAUCCAAAAUAAAAAAGAGACAAACCCUGAAGAUCGGCAACAGUCGAAAUCAUAUAUGGAUCCAGAUCUUGGUGUUAUAGAGGGUGGAUCUUAAGAUCUGGAAUGGAUCUAUUGGUGUCAUCAUCAGGAACGGCAACUACUUCCGACUCCUGCAACUACUUCCGACUCUUCCUCCGUCAUCAUCACAGCUUCUCCUUCAGCUCCCUAUAGCUUCGACGCCUCCGCCUUCAGAUUCGAUAUUCUGACGAAAGAGCCUGAAACGACGGAAGUGGACUCAUUAUAAUAAUUAGUGGCUGAAGUUGUCAUCGGAAGCGGACUCGUAAAAUAAAACAGAUCAAGAAAAGAAAUCAGAUAUGAAAAAUCAAACGGAGGAGAGCAAAUCGAGCAUAGAUGAAGACCUUACUUUGACAGAGUGUAGAUCUACUAGUUCAACAUUGCAAAAUCUAGAUUCAGAGCCAAAAUAGAGCUUCAAUCGUUGCCUUUCAUGUCCGUCGUAGCCGCCUCAUUGAUCUUCGAUUAUGUAUGUCCCUGUCGCUGCUGCCGUACAUAAUCGAAGUGUCGAUUUGAUUCGCCUUCUCUACUUGCUCAAUCAUCAUAUUUAAGUGGGGAGGAGAGUAAAAAUGAGAAGAUGAGAGAAAGAAUGAGAGGAUGAGAGCAAGGAAGAACACUGUCAAAAAGAAGAAAAUGAGAUAGAAGGUGAAGGGUGUGAAAAUGAAUUGAAAGGAGAUCUAAUAUUAAAUUUGUUUCUGUUUUAAAAUUUCACAAUUCUAAAAUUUGCAAAUGCUCUUCAUAAAAUAUCAACGGUUAAAUUGAAAGUUUUGGC
Molecule: long non-coding RNA, 1057 nt
Filed under: Linum usitatissimum (flax)
Lineage: Eukaryota; Viridiplantae; Streptophyta; Magnoliopsida; Malpighiales; Linaceae
Description: long non-coding RNA (LUSI_LNC005581)
Source: RNAcentral